RNAcentral lists this small nucleolar RNA (68 nucleotides) under Macaca mulatta (Rhesus monkey). Its description in RNAcentral is "Small nucleolar RNA SNORD77 (ENSMMUG00000057862.1)". It matches the Rfam family "Small nucleolar RNA SNORD77". From Rfam's summary of the family: U77 belongs to the C/D family of snoRNAs. The record is from Rfam by way of RNAcentral. Lineage: Eukaryota; Metazoa; Chordata; Mammalia; Primates; Cercopithecidae.
AUACUAUGAUGGUUGCAUAGUUCAGCAGAUUGAAUAAUGAAGAAAUGUACUGUGUGUCUGAUGUGUCU